GCCGGCAGGGCUGGUGAGGGUUCCCUUGGCAGGACCGGGGCCCCUCCACUGUGGCGUGUGAAGCCGGCCCUGAGCAGAGCUUCCAGCCAGCCGGUGGGAGGGGCGAGGCCGGUGAGGGCAGGGCCAGGUCUUGACCGAAGUGACGAGAGAUGGAUGAGGACCGUGCUCUGGGCACGUGUGAGCCACCAGGCUGCCCAGGUGAACACAGCACAUGUUCAGGGCCAGAGGUGCUGUGGGGUGUGUGGGCCGGGCGUGGGUGUGGG
Vicugna pacos (alpaca) is the source of this 263-nucleotide non-coding RNA. The record is from RefSeq and is a predicted model, not a curated record. NCBI's taxonomy places the organism in Eukaryota, Metazoa, Chordata, Mammalia, Artiodactyla, Camelidae.